GGUUAAGCGACUAAGCGUACACGGUGGAUGCCCUGGCAGUCAGAGGCGAUGAAGGACGUGCUAAUCUGCGAAAAGCGUCGGUAAGGUGAUAUGAACCGUUAUAACCGGCGAUGUCCGAAUGGGGAAACCCAGUGCAAUUCGUUGCACUAUCGUUAACUGAAUACAUAGGUUAACGAGGCGAACCGGGGGAACUGAAACAUCUAAGUACCCCGAGGAAAAGAAAUCAACCGAGAUUCCCCCAGUAGCGGCGAGCGAACGGGGAGCAGCCCAGAGUCUGAAUCAGCUUGUGUGUUAGUGGAACGGUCUGGAAAGUCCGACGGUACAGGGUGAUAGUCCCGUACACCAAAAUGCACAGGCUGUGAACUCGAAGAGUAGGGCGGGACACGUGGUAUCCUGUCUGAAUAUGGGGGGACCAUCCUCCAAGGCUAAAUACUCCUGACUGACCGAUAGUGAACCAGUACCGUGAGGGAAAGGCGAAAAGAACCCCGGCGAGGGGAGUGAAAAAGAACCUGAAACCGUGUACGUACAAGCAGUGGGAGCACCUUUAUGGUGUGACUGCGUACCUUUUGUAUAAUGGGUCAGCGACUUAUAUUCUGUAGCAAGGUUAACCGUAUAGGGGAGCCGCAGGGAAACCGAGUCUUAACUGGGCGUUAAGUUGCAGGGUAUAGACCCGAAACCCGGUGAUCUAGCCAUGGGCAGGUUGAAGGUUGGGUAACACUAACUGGAGGACCGAACCGACUAAUGUUGAAAAAUUAGCGGAUGACUUGUGGCUGGGGGUGAAAGGCCAAUCAAACCGGGAGAUAGCUGGUUCUCCCCGAAAGCUAUUUAGGUAGCGCCUCGUGAACUCAUCUUCGGGGGUAGAGCACUGUUUCGGCUAGGGGGUCAUCCCGACUUACCAACCCGAUGCAAACUACGAAUACCGAAGAAUGUUAUCACGGGAGACACACGGCGGGUGCUAACGUCCGUCGUGAAGAGGGAAACAACCCAGACCGCCAGCUAAGGUCCCAAAGUCAUGGUUAAGUGGGAAACGAUGUGGGAAGGCACAGACAGCCAGGAUGUUGGCUUAGAAGCAGCCAUCAUUUAAAGAAAGCGUAAUAGCUCACUGGUCGAGUCGGCCUGCGCGGAAGAUGUAACGGGGCUAAACCAUGCACCGAAGCUGCGGCAGCGACACUAUGUGUUGUUGGGUAGGGGAGCGUUCUGUAAGCCUGCGAAGGUGGCCUGUGAGGGUUGCUGGAGGUAUCAGAAGUGCGAAUGCUGACAUAAGUAACGAUAAAGCGGGUGAAAAGCCCGCUCGCCGGAAGACCAAGGGUUCCUGUCCAACGUUAAUCGGGGCAGGGUGAGUCGACCCCUAAGGCGAGGCCGAAAGGCGUAGUCGAUGGGAAACAGGUUAAUAUUCCUGUACUUGGUGUUACUGCGAAGGGGGGACGGAGAAGGCUAUGUUAGCCGGGCGACGGUUGUCCCGGUUUAAGCAUGUAGGCUGGUUAUCCAGGCAAAUCCGGAUAAUCAAGGCUGAGGUGUGAUGACGAGGCACUACGGUGCUGAAGUAACAAAUGCCCUGCUUCCAGGAAAAGCCUCUAAGCAUCAGGUAACAUCAAAUCGUACCCCAAACCGACACAGGUGGUCAGGUAGAGAAUACCAAGGCGCUUGAGAGAACUCGGGUGAAGGAACUAGGCAAAAUGGUGCCGUAACUUCGGGAGAAGGCACGCUGGUGUGUAGGUGAAGUCCCUGCGGAUGGAGCUGAGACCAGUCGAAGAUACCAGCUGGCUGCAACUGUUUAUUAAAAACACAGCACUGUGCAAACACGAAAGUGGACGUAUACGGUGUGACGCCUGCCCGGUGCCGGAAGGUUAAUUGAUGGGGUUAUCCGUAAGGAGAAGCUCUUGAUCGAAGCCCCGGUAAACGGCGGCCGUAACUAUAACGGUCCUAAGGUAGCGAAAUUCCUUGUCGGGUAAGUUCCGACCUGCACGAAUGGCGUAAUGAUGGCCAGGCUGUCUCCACCCGAGACUCAGUGAAAUUGAACUCGCUGUGAAGAUGCAGUGUACCCGCGGCAAGACGGAAAGACCCCGUGAACCUUUACUAUAGCUUGACACUGAACAUUGAGCCUUGAUGUGUAGGAUAGGUGGGAGGCUUUGAAGCGUGGACGCCAGUCUGCGUGGAGCCAACCUUGAAAUACCACCCUUUAAUGUUUGAUGUUCUAACGUUGGCCCCUGACCGGGGUUGCGGACAGUGUCUGGUGGGUAGUUUGACUGGGGCGGUCUCCUCCCAAAGCGUAACGGAGGAGCACGAAGGUUAGCUAAUCCUGGUCGGACAUCAGGAGGUUAGUGCAAUGGCAUAAGCUAGCUUGACUGCGAGCGUGACGGCGCGAGCAGGUGCGAAAGCAGGUCAUAGUGAUCCGGUGGUUCUGAAUGGAAGGGCCAUCGCUCAACGGAUAAAAGGUACUCCGGGGAUAACAGGCUGAUACCGCCCAAGAGUUCAUAUCGACGGCGGUGUUUGGCACCUCGAUGUCGGCUCAUCACAUCCUGGGGCUGAAGUAGGUCCCAAGGGUAUGGCUGUUCGCCAUUUAAAGUGGUACGCGAGCUGGGUUUAGAACGUCGUGAGACAGUUCGGUCCCUAUCUGCCGUGGGCGCUGGAGAAUUGAGGGGGGCUGCUCCUAGUACGAGAGGACCGGAGUGGACGCAUCACUGGUGUUCGGGUUGUCAUGCCAAUGGCACUGCCCGGUAGCUAAAUGCGGAAGAGAUAAGUGCUGAAAGCAUCUAAGCACGAAACUUGCCCCGAGAUGAGUUCUCCCUGAGACUUUAAGUCUCCUGAAGGAACGUUGAAGACGACGACGUUGAUAGGCCGGGUGUGUAAGCGCAGCGAUGCGUUGAGCUAACCGGUACUAAUGAACCGUGAGGCUUAACCUU
This 2903-nucleotide ribosomal RNA is filed under the name Klebsiella quasipneumoniae. Its description in RNAcentral is "23S ribosomal RNA". It matches the Rfam family "Bacterial large subunit ribosomal RNA". Lineage: Bacteria; Pseudomonadati; Pseudomonadota; Gammaproteobacteria; Enterobacterales; Enterobacteriaceae. The record is from RNAcentral.